RNAcentral lists this transfer RNA (86 nucleotides) under Pseudomonas fluorescens. Its description in RNAcentral is "tRNA-Arg". Lineage: Bacteria; Pseudomonadati; Pseudomonadota; Gammaproteobacteria; Pseudomonadales; Pseudomonadaceae. The record is from RNAcentral.
CGCUGGGUGGUGUGGCGGCUGGUGCCGGGCUUGCGGCGGUCGAGAUCACGCUGCAGGUCGUCCAGGCUCAGCUCCAGGCCUGGCGG